Molecule: ribosomal RNA, 207 nt
Filed under: uncultured bacterium
Lineage: Bacteria
Description: partial 16S ribosomal RNA
Rfam family: Bacterial small subunit ribosomal RNA
Source: RNAcentral
CACGUAGGCGGACCUACAAGUCGGGGGUGAAAUCCCGGGGCUCAACCCCGGAACGGCCUCCGAAACUGUGGGUCUGGAGGAUGAGAGAGGCGAGUGGAAUUCCGAGUGUAGAGGUGAAAUUCGUAGAUAUUCGGAGGAACACCAGUGGCGAAGGCGGCUCGCUGGCUCAUUUCUGACGCUGAGGUGCGAAAGCGUGGGGAGCAAACA